RNAcentral lists this ribosomal RNA (253 nucleotides) under uncultured bacterium. RNAcentral's name for it is "partial 16S ribosomal RNA". It matches the Rfam family "Bacterial small subunit ribosomal RNA", at positions 524 to 776 of the family's 1533-position model. The record is from RNAcentral.
UACGUAGGGUGCGAGCGUUAAUCGGAAUUACUGGGCGUAAAGCGUGCGCAGGCGGUUAUGUAAGUCCGCUGUGAAAUCCCCGGGCUUAACCUGGGAACUGCAUUGGUGACUGCAUUGCUGGAGUAUGGCAGAGGGGGGUGGAAUUCCACGUGUAGCAGUGAAAUGCGUAGAGAUGUGGAGGAACACCGAUGGCGAAGGCAGCCCCCUGGGCCAAUACUGACGCUCAUGCACGAAAGCGUGGGGAGCAAACAGG